GAUGAACGCUAGCUACAGGCUUAACACAUGCAAGUCGAGGGGAAACGACAUCGGAAGCUUGCUUUUGAUGGGCGUCGACCGGCGCACGGGUGAGUAACGCGUAUCCAACCUUCCCGUUGCUAGGGGAUAACCUUGCGAAAGUAAGACUAAUACCCUAUGAAGUUCUUCGCAGGCAUCUAAAGAGAACGAAAGAUUUAUCGGCAACGGAUGGGGAUGCGUCUGAUUAGGUUGUUGGCGGGGUAACGGCCCACCAAGCCCACGAUCAGUAGGGGUUCUGAGAGGAAGGUCCCCCACAUUGGAACUGAGACACGGUCCAAACUCCUACGGGAGGCAGCAGUGAGGAAUAUUGGUCAAUGGACGGAAGUCUGAACCAGCCAAGUAGCGUGCAGGACGACGGCCCUAUGGGUUGUAAACUGCUUUUAUAAGGGAAUAAAGUGAGCCUCGUGAGGCUUUUUGCAUGUACCUUAUGAAUAAGGACCGGCUAAUUCCGUG
Molecule: ribosomal RNA, 492 nt
Filed under: uncultured bacterium
Lineage: Bacteria
Description: bacterial SSU rRNA
Rfam family: Bacterial small subunit ribosomal RNA
Source: RNAcentral